CGCACAUGUCCCCUCGUCUGCAAGCUCCCUUGCGGAACUCAGGGCAAGGUACACAGCUGUAGUGGUACUUUCUUGGAUCUCUUCUUCGAGCGUUUUCACCUGGAUGGACAAAUGGACAUUCAGUCCAAUCAUGGGAGUAUGCACGAGAGCAUGGCUUGAUCUUAAAUGAGAACAUCCUGAAUUCAUCUGUGGAGUAGAUGCUGUUCUUUAUAUCAGGCAAGGAAGGAUCAAUUGGGUACUCUUUCUUCUCCGGAGGAGAGGGCACAGGGAGGUCAGUAGAUUUUGCACUCCUUGGAGAAGAAGUGGUAUCUGAAGCAGAAGAUGGUGAUAUAUUUCCAAGAGAAGGCGAAAGUGGUGGAGAAUUUGAGUUUGAACUGGCCAUAGACACCCUCAGGUUGCAAUCUCCCAUACCAUCAGUUUUGAGCAGAUUUUCUAGACACGAUUUGAUGGUGUGAUCCUUCAGUGAAGUAACUAAAACAUCAAGAGGGCGAUAACCAUAGGCAUCUUUGACGUUUGGGUCAGCACCAGCUUCUAAAAGCAACUUGAUAGCCUCAACAGCAUUCAAAGAUCCACCUGAGGCAGCACAAUGAAG
This 592-nucleotide unclassified non-coding RNA is filed under the name Hevea brasiliensis (rubber tree). The record is from RNAcentral. Lineage: Eukaryota; Viridiplantae; Streptophyta; Magnoliopsida; Malpighiales; Euphorbiaceae.